This 508-nucleotide ribosomal RNA is filed under the name uncultured bacterium. RNAcentral's name for it is "partial 16S ribosomal RNA". It matches the Rfam family "Bacterial small subunit ribosomal RNA", at positions 28 to 523 of the family's 1533-position model. The record is from RNAcentral.
GAUGAGCGCUAGCUACAGGCUUAACACAUGCAAGUCGAGGGGAAACGACAUCGAAAGCUUGCUUUUGAUGGGCGUCGACCGGCGCACGGGUGAGUAACGCGUAUCCAACCUGCCCACCACUUGGGGAUAACCUUGCGAAAGUAAGACUAAUACCCAAUGAUGUCUCUAGAAGACAUCUGAAGGAGAUUAAAGCUUUAUCGGUGAUGGAUGGGGAUGCGUCUGAUUAGCUUGUUGGCGGGGUAACGGCCCACCAAGGCGACGAUCAGUAGGGGUUCUGAGAGGAAGGUCCCCCACAUUGGAACUGAGACACGGUCCAAACUCCUACGGGAGGCAGCAGUGAGGAAUAUUGGUCAAUGGGCGAGAGCUUGAACCAGCCAAGUAGCGUGCAGGAUGACGGCCCUAUGGGUUGUAAACUGCUUUUAUAAGGGAAUAAAGUGAGCCUCGUGAGGCUUUUUGCAUGUACCUUAUGAAUAAGGACCGGCUAAUUCCGUGCCAGCCGCCGCCGUAA